GAGUUGGGGGAGAGGACCAGAACCACCUGCUGGAGAAGGGGAGCUACGGGGGCCGGGCAGGGUCCAAACGCCUCACGUAGGCGGCGGCGCCACGGUCUUCGGGGUCACAGGGAAGAGAAGGGCUCUCCUCAAGCGGGUGGAAGGAGGGAGGCCUCCCGAGGGAGUGAGACUCUAGGCCACUCCCCCGCAGCAAGGCAGGAUCACCUGCGACGCGGAGAGCGGUUAGAGGGCCCUGGAGUGGAAAAGGGCAGUGGGACCUGGUAGCUUGGGUUCCCUGCAACUUGGGGUUCGACCUCCAGGCAAUGAAGUAGGGAUGGUCCUGCAAGUCAAGAUUCCAGUAGCAAGAGUGCAUCAGAUCUCUGUAAGGAAAAUAACUAACAUUGCUCAGUUCCCUGUAGAGUUGCAGGGCGCUUUAACGUUAUCUCCCUUGGUUCUCCAUCAGGUCGUAGUGGACUAAUUUUACAGGCGAAGUUAAGUGACUUACCCAAAACCUCACAGCUAAUAAACGGCAGAGCCGGCACCCAGCUGUACUGGCUUCCAAUUCUGUUAGCUUACCAGCGCAUCACAUUAUCUCCAUAAAUCCCCAUGAUUCAACUAAUAUUAGACGCCCCACAGAGUCUCGCUACUCAAAACGUGGUCAGUGGCCCAGCAGCACUGACAUGAGGAUGUUAGUUAGAAACUCAGAAUCUCAGGCUCCACCCCAGACCUGCUGAACCAGCAUCUUCAACUUAACAAGAACCCGAAGAGAUUUGUGUCACAUCAAAAAGUUUGAGAAGCUCUGAUCUAGGGCUGGAAGGAGUGUUGCUCAACAAUAUCCAAAACCACAGAGGUUGAAAAGCACAAGGAAAGAAGGUAUGUUUGCACUUUGUGAUUAGGUAGUAGGGUCUUUGAGACCACAUUGUUCUUAUUGAAAGCCUGGGAAGAAAGAUCCCCUUUCUGGUCAAGUUUAGUCUAGGGAUCCAUCCCAUCUUCCCCAGUUCCCACGUGUAUGGGACAUGUCGAGAUAAGUAGAUAGAUUGGACAGUGGGAGAAAGUAGUUCUCUUCCAGUUGCUUCUAUUUUCUCAGCAAAGUGAGGAGCAAGAUCAUUUUGGCAGACUGCUAAUUGUCCAUCACAAUUUAGUCUCCCUUUCUCCCUGAAAACACAGACUGCUUUUCUCAGCCUCUCUUUCAGUUGCAUAUGGUCAAGUAUUAAGUUAUAGAACGUGAGCAGAUGUUAUGUCUGCCACUGUCAGGCCAAGGCGUUUACUUUGAGAGUACUUGUGCCUCUUUCAUGCAUUUUCCUUUCUGCCAGCUGGACCCUGGACACGGUGACUCUGAUUCAAUUAUGCAGAUGACCACAAACCUCUGGGGUUGGCAGAGCCACAAGAAAGAAGGUGCCUGGAUGAAGGAGAGCUACCCACUGACCUGGACACCCAAUUAUAGGAUAGACAGUGAAGUGCAACUACAGCCCGCAAAUGAAAAUGAAUAAUAUUAAUCCAGCCCCUCAAGGCAGUCAUCUGUCUUAGAGCUAUUGGAAUCCUGGAUCAUUGUGGGAAAUGAAAGGAACUGGUUUUUAGCAAGGAGACCAAGAAACUCUACUCCCUAGGGGCUAGCAAUGAGAGAAAGGAAGCCUUAAGUCUUUGAGCACAGGGUGACAGUUUGGGUCCUAUGUGAGAUGAUCAAAUCCACAGCAACAGAGGAAAGGACAAAAGGAAAAGAUACUUCGAUGGAAUCAGCAGCCAUUGAUCCAAUGCCAACUCCAAGACUGGAACGUCGCAAUGAUAGUUCCAAGGCGGAAAUUUGACGUAAUUCUUUUCGACACAGUUUUACAGGUCUGGAUGCCCAUUUUAAUUCUUCUGAAAGCAUGCCUCCUCCUUCUGGCUUCAGGACUCCAUCUCCAGCCUCUUGAUCUAAAAAU
Molecule: long non-coding RNA, 1898 nt
Filed under: Homo sapiens (human)
Lineage: Eukaryota; Metazoa; Chordata; Mammalia; Primates; Hominidae
Description: HSALNT0353142
Source: RNAcentral